UGUCAUUUAGAAGCUUGCUAAAAAUGUAGCAAGAGGCCAGGAUUAUUUUUAGUUGGAAAAGCUUCAUUUACUUCUCACAAGCUCUGUGGCCUGUUGUGCUUCAAUUUCGUCAUCUUCAAAACCAGGAAGAGCUAUAUUCAUCUUAUCUCACAAAGCUGAUUAACAUAAAUGAAGGAGCCUUGGAAAAUGGAAAGCAUUAUACAAAUAAACAUAGUCUCACUCUUUUUCCCAGGCUGGU
RNAcentral lists this long non-coding RNA (238 nucleotides) under Homo sapiens (human). Its description in RNAcentral is "HSALNT0336836". The record is from RNAcentral. Lineage: Eukaryota; Metazoa; Chordata; Mammalia; Primates; Hominidae.